Molecule: ribosomal RNA, 449 nt
Filed under: uncultured archaeon
Lineage: Archaea
Description: bacterial SSU rRNA
Rfam family: Archaeal small subunit ribosomal RNA
Source: RNAcentral
UACCGGCGGCUCGAGUGGUGGCCACUAUUACUGGGCUUAAAGCGUUCGUAGCUGGUUUGUUAAGUCUCUGGGGAAAUCUUCCGGCUUAACCGGAAGGCGUCUCAGGGAUACUGGCAGACUAGGGACCGGAAGAGGUGAGAGGUACUCCAGGGGUAGGAGUGAAAUCCUGUAAUCCUUGGGGGACCACCUGUGGCGAAGGCGUCUCACCAGGACGGCUCCGACAGUGAGGGACGAAAGCUGGGGGAGCAAACCGGAUUAGAUACCCGGGUAGUCCCAGCCGUAAACGAUGUGCAUUAGGUGUAUCGGUGACCACGAGUCACCGAGGUGCCGAAGAGAAAUCGUGAAAUGCACCGCCUGGGAAGUACGGUCGCAAGGCUGAAACUUAAAGGAAUUGGCGGGGGAGCACCACAACAGGUGGAGCCUGCGGUUUAAUCGGAUUCAACGCCGGA